CCUACGGGGGGCUGCAGUCGAGAAUCUUCGGCAAUGGGCGAAAGCCUGACCGAGCGACGCCGCGUGCGGGAUGAAGGUCUUCGGAUUGUAAACCGCUGUCGGGAGGGAUGAAGUGCACGGGGGCAAUCCCCUGUGUUUGACAGAGCUCCGGAGGAAGCACGGGCUAAGUUCGUGCCAGCAGCCGCGGUAAUACGAACUGUGCGAACGUUAUUCGGAAUCACUGGGCUUAAAGGGUGCGUAGGCGGCGCUGUAAGUCAGGUGUGAAAUCCCCCGGCUCAACCGGGGAAUGGCGCUUGAAACUGCAGUGCUUGAGUGAGGUAGGGGUGCAUGGAACUUCCGGUGGAGCGGUGAAAUGUGUAGAUAUCGGAAGGAACGCCGGCGGCGAAAGCGGUGCACUGGGCCUUGUCUGACGCUGAGGCACGAAAGCCAGGGUAGCGAACGGGAUUAGAUACCCUAGUAGUC
RNAcentral lists this ribosomal RNA (462 nucleotides) under uncultured bacterium. RNAcentral describes it as "bacterial SSU rRNA". It matches the Rfam family "Bacterial small subunit ribosomal RNA", at positions 338 to 795 of the family's 1533-position model. The record is from RNAcentral.